AACAAGGCGUACCUGCGGACCUGCGGAGGGAUCAUUAUUGAUUUUUAAUAGGAUGUGCUGGCUCUUCUGGGGCAUGUGCACUCCUAUCAAAAAACCAAUAUCCACCUGUGCACCUUUAGUAGGCAGGAAAAAACACCUUUAUUACCCAAAGGCUCUUUUCCUUGUCUAUGUUUUCUAUCACAAACACUUGAUCUAUUUGAAUGCUUAUACAACAAAUAAUAUUUGUAAAACAACUUUCAA
RNAcentral lists this unclassified non-coding RNA (240 nucleotides) under soil metagenome. RNAcentral's name for it is "partial contains 5.8S ribosomal RNA, internal transcribed spacer 2, and large subunit ribosomal RNA". The record is from RNAcentral.